This 452-nucleotide ribosomal RNA is filed under the name uncultured bacterium. Its description in RNAcentral is "bacterial SSU rRNA". It matches the Rfam family "Bacterial small subunit ribosomal RNA", at positions 340 to 782 of the family's 1533-position model. The record is from RNAcentral.
UACGGAAGGCAGCAGUGGGGAAUAUUGCACAAUGGGCGCAAGCCUGAUGCAGCCAUGCCGCGUGUAUGAAGAAGGCCUUCGGGUUGUAAAGUACUUUCAGUCGUGAGGAAGGUGUUAAGGUUAAUAACCUUAGCAAUUGACGUUAGCGACAGAAGAAGCACCGGCUAACUCCGUGCCAGCAGCCGCGGUAAUACGGAGGGUGCGAGCGUUAAUCGGAAUUACUGGGCGUAAAGGGCACGCAGGCGGUUAAUUAAACUUGGAUGUGAAAUCCCCGGGCUUAACCUGGGAAUGGCAUUCAAGACUGGUUAGCUAGAGUCUUGUAGAGGGGGUAGAAUUCCAUGUGUAGCGGUGAAAUGCGUAGAGAUGUGGAGGAAUACCGGUGGGCGAAGGCGGCCCCUGGGACAAAGACUGACGCUCAUGUGCGAAAGCGUGGGGAGCAAACAGGGAUUAGA